This 700-nucleotide ribosomal RNA is filed under the name Leeuwenhoekiella sp. 106AR. RNAcentral describes it as "bacterial SSU rRNA". It matches the Rfam family "Bacterial small subunit ribosomal RNA", at positions 76 to 776 of the family's 1533-position model. Lineage: Bacteria; Pseudomonadati; Bacteroidota; Flavobacteriia; Flavobacteriales; Flavobacteriaceae. The record is from RNAcentral.
UCCUUCGGGAAGCUGACGAGUGGCGCACGGGUGCGUAACGCGUAUGCAAUCUGCCUUGUACUGGAGUAUAGCCCAGGGAAACUUGGAUUAAUCCUCCAUAGUCUAUAUGAUUGGCAUCAUUUAUAUAGUAAAGGUUACGGUACAAGAUGAGCAUGCGUCCUAUUAGCUAGUAGGUGUGGUAACGGCACACCUAGGCUUCGAUAGGUAGGGGUCCUGAGAGGGAGAUCCCCCACACUGGUACUGAGACACGGACCAGACUCCUACGGGAGGCAGCAGUGAGGAAUAUUGGACAAUGGGCGAAAGCCUGAUCCAGCCAUGCCGCGUGCAGGAAGACGGCCCUAUGGGUUGUAAACUGCUUUUAUACGGGAAGAAUAAGGCCUACGUGUAGGCUGAUGACGGUACCGUAAGAAUAAGCACCGGCUAACUCCGUGCCAGCAGCCGCGGUAAUACGGAGGGUGCAAGCGUUAUCCGGAAUCAUUGGGUUUAAAGGGUCCGUAGGUGGACUAAUAAGUCAGUGGUGAAAGUCUGCAGCUCAACUGUAGAAUUGCCAUUGAUACUGUUAGUCUUGAAUUGUUAUGAAGUAGCUAGAAUAUGUAGUGUAGCGGUGAAAUGCAUAGAUAUUACAUAGAAUACCAAUUGCGAAGGCAGGCUACUAAUAAUUGAUUGACACUGAUGGACGAAAGCGUGGGGAGCGAACAGG